RNAcentral lists this ribosomal RNA (468 nucleotides) under uncultured bacterium. RNAcentral describes it as "partial 16S ribosomal RNA". It matches the Rfam family "Bacterial small subunit ribosomal RNA", at positions 28 to 507 of the family's 1533-position model. The record is from RNAcentral.
GACGAACGCUGGCGGCGUGCUUAACACAUGCAAGUCGAACGGAAAGGCCUGGCAUUUGUGGGGUGCUCGUGUGCCGAACGGGGGAGUAUCACGUGAGUAAACUGUCCUUGUCUUUGGGAUAACACCUGGAGACAGGGGCGAUAAUAGCAUAGGAUCUCCUGCUGCACGGUGGGGGUUGGAAAGAGUCGGCGGUUGGGGAUGGAAUCGAGGCUUAUCAGCUUGUUGGUGAGGUAGUGGAUUACCAAGGCUUCGACGGGUAGCCGACCUGGGAGGGUGACAGGCCACAAUGGUCCUGAGGUACGGCCCAGACUGCUACGUGAGGCAGCAGUGGGAAUUAUUGCACAAUAGGCGGAAGCCUGAUACAACGACGCCGCGUGCGAGAUAACGGCCUUUAGGGUAUAAACCGCUUUCGACUGUAACGAAGCGUGAGUGACGGUAAUUAAUAAAAAAGCAACGGCUAACUACGUG